This 240-nucleotide ribosomal RNA is filed under the name Cohnella sp. OV330. RNAcentral describes it as "16S rRNA. Bacterial SSU". It matches the Rfam family "Bacterial small subunit ribosomal RNA", at positions 1 to 225 of the family's 1533-position model. The record is from RNAcentral. Lineage: Bacteria; Bacillati; Bacillota; Bacilli; Caryophanales; Paenibacillaceae.
CCUAUAUGGAGAGUUUGAUCCUGGCUCAGGACGAACGCUGGCGGCGUGCCUAAUACAUGCAAGUCGAGCGGAUCUCUGAUGGAGCUUGCUCCUGAUGAGAUCAGCGGCGGACGGGUGAGUAACACGUAGGCAACCUGCCCUGAAGACCGGGAUAACAUUCGGAAACGAAUGCUAAGACCGGAUAGGCAACGAGGUCGCAUGAUCUUGUUGAGAAACACGGUGCAAGCUGUGGCUUUGGGA